CAGUGGAGAGUAGAUUUUAUCACAUUAGAGGUCUUUCUGAAAGCGCUGUAACUAAGUUUAAGAAUAUAAUCCACCCACUGUUAUCAUCUUCAAUGCUCAUCGAGCAGAGCAGCUAUCUGAACACUACCACAUCAGUGGUCGAUUAUCUUGUUAAUAAUUUUACAUUCCUCACUACGUACGACUCUACGUACGAGGUCUGUUAGCGGCUGGGUAUCAGGAAGACCUGGAUGACGCCACUGCAAUCCCAAAGCGACACUUCAACGACACCCUAGCCACCCAGCUUGCUAUCCUGACCUCCCGCCAGCAGCGCAACUGGGAUCAACACCUUCCCCUGGUCCUAAUGUCCUACUGUUUGGCGGUCCAGGAAUCUACUGAGUGCACUCCAGCGACCUUGAUGUUUGGGCAUGAGCUUUGUACCCCAGUGGACUUGGUCUUCGGAUCCCCCCAUGGAAUGUCCUCAAAGACGCCGUCGCCUUCCCCAACACCUCAGAGACUUUGCUAUGGACUUGUCGGUUGCUGGGGACAGCUAACCACUCAGAGGCGGCGGCAAGAGGGGAGACCUCGGCUCAUCCAGCUGGACAGCCUGAUCAGGAGGAGUCGAACAUUAACUCAGGUCUUCCAGGGCACCCUGCAGACUCAGCUGCUGGCAACAGCGAGGGAGUGCGGCCGCCGCUGGGAUGACGUGAACGCCAAACAGGAGUCCAUCACAGGUCAAUUGCAGCUCCUUGUCUCAGAGUGGGAGGGAUUUGAAGCACAAAGGGAGGAGCUUGUCAUUUGGUUGGCUGAUAUGGAUGUCCACCUGAGUGAGGUUUACCAGCUAACAGGAAACACCAGUGAAAAACUGAAACAACUGCAGGUGUGGCCUUGUUUUGAUAUAACAUAUAUUUGAUAUGAUACAUACGUCAGAGACAUUGUCCUAAACUGGACUAACAAAGGACCAUGAGUCCAACAUGAAACUUACCUUACAUAAGGUAAGGCUGAAGUUCAUUGAUAAUUUUAAUCAAAAACUUGUUGUUGAAAUAUUUUUACUGAAUAUGCAAACAUCUGCUGAUGAAAAUGUGUUGAUUUAUUGGUCUGUUAUGAAGC
This is a long non-coding RNA of Astatotilapia calliptera (eastern happy), 1086 nucleotides long. The record is from Ensembl. NCBI's taxonomy places the organism in Eukaryota, Metazoa, Chordata, Actinopteri, Cichliformes, Cichlidae.